CCUACGGGGGGCAGCAGUGGGGAAUCUUGCGCAAUGGGCGAAAGCCUGACGCAGCGACGCCGCGUGGGGGAAGAAGGCCUUCGGGUUGUAAACCUCUUUCAGUAGGGACGAAGCCACUCGGGUUAACAGCCCAGAGGGUGACGGUACCUACAGAAGAAGCCCCGGCUAACUACGUGCCAGCAGCCGCGGUAAUACGUAGGGGGCAAGCGUUGUCCGGAUUUAUUGGGCGUAAAGAGCGUGUAGGCGGCCAGGUAGGUCCGUUGUGAAAACUGGAGGCUCAACCUCCAGACGUCGAUGGAAACCAUCUGGCUAGAGUCCGGAAGAGGAGAAUGGAAUUCCUGGUGUAGCGGUGAAAUGCGCAGAUAUCAGGAAGAACACCCGUGGCGAAGGCGGUUCUCUGGGACGGUACUGACGCUGAGACGCGAAAGCGUGGGGAGCGA
RNAcentral lists this ribosomal RNA (440 nucleotides) under uncultured bacterium. RNAcentral describes it as "bacterial SSU rRNA". It matches the Rfam family "Bacterial small subunit ribosomal RNA", at positions 338 to 771 of the family's 1533-position model. The record is from RNAcentral.